CUGUCUCCGCAAGAGUAGUUACCUACCCACUUGCUCCUCCCCCUCGGUGUCUCCUCCCUCCCUCCCCCCACACAUAUACAUACAGCAGGCCAGACACUUGGAGAGAGAGGUCUCUUGGGCGAACACGAAGGACAGGAGAGCGGAGCACAGAGCCGUGAUUCCCUGGUUGCCGUUGUGUCUGUGGGUGUCUACGCCGAGCUGCGGAGGAGAUCGGGUCGAGGGGCGCGCGGCGUUGCUGUACAUGACGCGUUAGACUCUCUCACGCCGACAGACACACACACGACUUUUCAUCUUCCUCAUCACAGACACUAAAGCCAAAGAAAGGAAACCGAAACGGAAAACUCCGUUGAUGUCGUUUGCUGUCGAUAGCUGCGUUGUUACAUUGCUCGCUUCCCCCCUCUGACGGACACAGACUCAUCUGUCUUGGGCUCGUGAACCACGCCCUCCCCAUUCUCCGCCCUACCCCUCCCUUCAUUGAGAGGGAAGACAAGGAGUGAAAGCAGGGGGGGGCAUUCUGUUGCUGUAUCCUUCACGGUCUCCCGCUCCCUUUCACAGUACUUACCUUUCCUGCUGUUCUCAACAGUGCACGAUAACGUGCGCCAGGCUGCCAUCUUUGUGUGCGUGUGUGUGUCUGCGCCCGCGAGUCAUGCUUCAGCGCAGUCUCUCGCGCUUCUUUGCCCACCUCCUCCGCGAGGUGGACACGGCCGGGUUUGCCGGCGACUUCCGCCGCCUGCACCACGUUGGCGCUGCGUCGACGCAAGCGAAAGCGAGAGAGGCGCGGCAUGCUGCAUGCAACGUACUCUUCUGCGGCCACCACGGGACCGGCAAGCUGAAUCUGCUGAAGGCGAUAGGCCUGCAGUGCGAAAAGAAGGGGCAGCGGGUGGCCUUCGUUUCCGCAGACAACCAGCGGGCGGCGCGGCUGGAUGGGUACCUGAUCAACUUUUUCAUCGGGAUGCGUGUUAGCCGCGACGAGCUGCCCUCACAGGAACAGUUGGAAGGCACCCUGGAGCGGCAUGUGCGCCUCGUGGAGUCUACCUUCGCAAGCAGCCUUCCAAGCCUCUGCAACAUCGAUGUUCUGAUACUCGAUGCGCUAGAGCUUGUGCAGCCGACGGUGCUGCUCUCGAUGGACGCGGUGGCGCGGCGGUUGCGUGGGCAGCCGAGCACGCCGUUUGGCGGGCUGCGUGUGUAUGCCGCGGCCGACUUCUGGCGGCUGCCCGUCCAUCCCACCAGCGACACUGGCGGCUACCUCUUCCAGCUGGAGCAGUGGGAGGUGCUAUUUCCUUUGCAGACGCUACUGCACAAGUCUCACGUGCAGAAAGAGAAGGAGCUGCGGCGCUUAACCGAGCUGGCGUUCUAUGGUGCACUAACGCUGCCGCAGAUGAAGGAGCUGGAAAAGUUGUCGAUGAAGGAGAAGCCGGAGUCGCGGCUCUUCUCCUGGUCGAGCUCCACGACGGAAGCCGAGAAGGGCACCGCGACAGCAAGGGAAGGCGAAGACGAAGAGGGUGAAAUCGAGGAGGAGGACGCCAUGAGCAUCGCUCAGUGGGCCAGCUUCCCGGGCGAGGCAGUGGCUGCCGACUCGCCCGACGGGCCGGAAGGGGCGCUCGAAGCGACAAAGGAUGACGAGGGGGCGGUCAACGAUCCCGCCUCAGGCCAGACGUCACUCUCGUCCUCUUCCUCUGCGCUGGCGCUGCUAAACGACGACAUGACUUCCAACUCGUUCGUCGCCACCCGCAUGAUGCUCCGCUUUCCUCGCCAGCCCGCCGUAAAGGAGAUGCCGCUGCGCUACCGCCAACUCAAGCGGACAGAGAUGGGUAACUUCCUCGUGAACAUGCUUGUACACUCUUCCUCGGCGACAUCGGUAGGACUGGUCGACUCCCUCAGCGUCGACGUUGGUAGUCGGGUGCACCUCCUCCUCGAUGGCCAGGAGCAUUACGGGGUGCCUGGCGGCGCGGUUGGCGAGGUGAUGCAGGUGGGGCCGCACUUCUUGUCCAUCCAUUUCCCUCGUGAGCACCGCACCGUCGACAUCCCCCGGAUGCGGGUGGUGUGCUACCACCCCUUCUACCCAGAGAUCCGAUACGAGCUGCAGCAGUUCCCCGUUUUCCCGCGCAAGCGUAUCUGCCCGAUGAACAUACUCACCUAUCCCCACGUGUUCUUUGUCAACCUCAACGGGCGCCGCAUGGCGGACACGAACGACCUCGGCAACCUCCUCGCGCAUCAGCGCAGCUUUUCGGACUUCACCAUUCGCAACACGUCGGACUUCGCCAAUCUCGACGGCAUGGUGCACGAGCCGACACGCAUCUACUACCACAAGAUCAGCGGCAAGCCGAUCAGCACCGCCAAAGAGCAGUGGUGCCGCAACUGCAAGCAGUUCGUGCCGACCGACUCUUUCUUCGAGCAUUGGGCAGCGUGCGUGCACUCGGUGCGUUGGUGCAUCGAUUGCAACCAGACCGUGUCCCUCGAGCUGCUGGGGCCGCACAGGGAGAAGCAUCAAGUUGUGCUCUGCCUGGACUGUGGCAGGCCGGUGGAGUGGCGACACUGGGAGGGUCACCGGCUCUCCUGCGGGCCCAUGAUGCGCGAGGUCAGCACGGACAAUCAGUUUAUCCCGCUGCGAACGCGUCAGCUGGCAUUGGAGAUGGGCCUCGACAAGCGCGACCUUCACACCGUGGCCUCCAUCACCAAGAGCAGUUUGCCGAAACCGAGGGAGGGGGUCCUCUAAGGACAGGGACGAGGAGGAAAGCGAAGAGAGCCCACGCUUUGGUGCGCUUGCGCGCAUGCGGACACACACACACACACAACAUGAAUUAACUGUAGCGGCAAGGGAGGGACAGCGAGAGAAGGGGGGGGGGCGGCGUUGUCUUUCGACGAAGUGCGCAAGGGCGUCAACGCGUGCCUCCCUCGAUCUCCCUCUCUUUGUAAGUUUAUGUGUACGUGUGUGUGUGCGUGUGCUGCGGUGUAUAUCACAGACCAGAAGUAGUCACCCUACAGAGAAAAGGAUGGUCGCGAGAGGGCGAGAGGUAAGGAAGCGGAUCUGUGCGUGAGCAAGGUGGGUACAGGUGGGACGGUGGCGGUGGCGGAAGCGGUGGAAGGGCAGGGUGGGAACCCCGCAACGCACUCGCCCAAAGUGGCCGAGAGACGGGUCUUCAAACGUUUCCCCCGCGUUGCACGAUUUGGCGGUGGUGGCGAGGUAGGUGAGCGAGGGCAGUGUAGAAGCCUUUCCUAUGUACGGAGCCUCCAUCUGCUCUCUCUCUUCGUUUUCAUCACUUAAACCUGCAAGCGCGGGCCGAGACACGCCUCAG
This 3296-nucleotide unclassified non-coding RNA is filed under the name Leishmania donovani. RNAcentral describes it as "gene:LdHU3.26.1150(CDS-product:hypothetical_prote in_conserved)". The record is from RNAcentral. Lineage: Eukaryota; Euglenozoa; Kinetoplastea; Trypanosomatida; Trypanosomatidae.